This 1177-nucleotide long non-coding RNA is filed under the name Brachypodium distachyon (stiff brome). Its description in RNAcentral is "long non-coding RNA (BDIS_LNC005689)". The record is from RNAcentral. Lineage: Eukaryota; Viridiplantae; Streptophyta; Magnoliopsida; Poales; Poaceae.
CGUGGUGGCGAGGGGGUUUAGGGGGAAAAGAGAGAGGGGGCCGUGGCCUUUAUAGGGACGCGGUCGGGGCACUUCGGGAAGGUCGGGAACGGCGGGCGCCAGAAUUGCGGCAGCGCAGGGAUCGCGCGCGUGACUGGCGGCGCUUUGCUUCGGGGAAGACCCAGCUGACAGGUGGGCCCCACUUGUCAGCGGCUACGGGCGCGCACGCGGCUGGCUUGGCCGGCUCGGCCCGGUUCGGGCGCGCGGAACUAGGCCAGUUCGGACCAUUUGGCCGGUCCGGUUUCUUCCCUUUUUUUUUCUUUUAGCAUUUUCUUUUUCCCUUUUUCUUAUUUCUUUGAUAUCUUUUGAUUUUGAACUCCAAAUUUGUCGCACCAGUGGCACCCGGGGUACCACCGCUGCGUGACGCAUGGGCCCCGUUCCCGAGUUCCCGGGAAGGUCUCAUCCCGAGGAGCGUCUGUGAGCUCCCCGGCAAGCUACCAGCCCGGAAGGGGCUCGCGGGGCUUCGGGGAACAUUCCCGCCUGGGCACCUCCUGGGAAGCUGCUUCUCGGGGGAGGUUCCCGGGUGCGCUGGGCCCGGGUGCUUCCCGGGGUCGACUUGCUGGGACUAGAGGUUCCCGGGCACAUGCCCCCGCCUCAGGCACGGGGCCCAGUGGUCAGAUGAACAGCGCCACGCGGGCGCGUGGCGGGCGUGGGAUGCGCGGUCUCAGCAGGGCAAGGAGUGAGGCGCACGGCUCAGUAAACGAGCCGACCGACGGGUAGUUACCCGUCCAAUCAAAGGAACAGUGGCUGUCCAAUCCUACUCAAGUGUUUUAGACCCCUAGUGGCGGAGGUGGCAUCCAUGCACGCCACCACCUCACCGGGAGGAGUUGUGUGCCUCCCCGCUAGACACUUGUAGCCCAUGCACUGUGGCACUUGUGGCAUCCCCUUGUAUAUAAAAGGAGUACCCAUGCCAACGGUGAGAGGGUUCCGCAUUUGUUUGGCUCAGUUCAGCAAGUUCGUUCAGCUCGCUCAGCAGAAGCUUAGUCGGCUCCAGUAGACAGCCAGUAGAGAGCAGUACUUAGCCAUUGAGAGAAGGCCCGGGAACUUUUAAACAUUUGACCCACAGCUAAUACCAGCUCAAACAAGCAGGACGUAGGGUUUUACACCUCCUGGUGGCCCGAACCUGGGUAAAAACGUG